AGAGCGAACGCUGGCGGCAGGCUUAACACAUGCAAGUCGAGCGGGCGUAGCAAUACGUCAGCGGCAGACGGGUGAGUAACGCGUGGGAACGUACCUUUUGGUUCGGAACAACACAGGGAAACUUGUGCUAAUACCGGAUAAGCCCUUACGGGGAAAGAUUUAUCGCCAAAAGAUCGGCCCGCGUCUGAUUAGCUAGUUGGUGAGGUAACGGCUCACCAAGGCGACGAUCAGUAGCUGGUCUGAGAGGAUGAUCAGCCACAUUGGGACUGAGACACGGCCCAAACUCCUACGGGAGGCAGCAGUGGGGAAUAUUGGACAAUGGGCGCAAGCCUGAUCCAGCCAUGCCGCGUGAGUGAUGAAGGCCCUAGGGUUGUAAAGCUCUUUUGUGCGGAAGAUAAUGACGGUACCGCAAGAAUAAGCCCCGGCUAACUUCGCGCCAGCAGCCGC
RNAcentral lists this ribosomal RNA (447 nucleotides) under uncultured bacterium. RNAcentral describes it as "SSU rRNA". It matches the Rfam family "Bacterial small subunit ribosomal RNA", at positions 26 to 518 of the family's 1533-position model. The record is from RNAcentral.